RNAcentral lists this long non-coding RNA (448 nucleotides) under Phoenix dactylifera (date palm). RNAcentral's name for it is "long non-coding RNA (PDAC_LNC018548)". The record is from RNAcentral. Lineage: Eukaryota; Viridiplantae; Streptophyta; Magnoliopsida; Arecales; Arecaceae.
GGCUCACAAUCCAAAAACCUUUACACUUUGGUUUUCCGGGUUCACCAAAAACCUAUGUUGGUUUUACGGGCUCACCAAUGAACCUAUACAAUUGGUUUUACGGGUUCACCAACAACCUACGUUGGUUUUACGGGCUUACCAACAACCUAUGUUGGUUUUACGGGCUCACCAACGAACCUUUACAAUUGGUUUUCCGGAUUCACCAAUCAACCUAUUCCGUUGGUUUUGCGGGCUAACCAAUCAACCUUUACAAGUAGUCUAAUAAACAAAGGAAGAAGAUUUAAACUCCUAGAUGAGCAAAUAUAACAAUAUAAUCUACAAAGAAGAGUUUAGAGAAUAUUUAUCGCUUGAUGUGACUUCUCUCUUCUUUGUCAAGGAUGCUUCACUCUUCAAGGGUGGAUGGAGCUCUUGAUGACUUUUUGAAUCUGCUCAACCACUUUCUUUUGAU